Molecule: unclassified non-coding RNA, 21 nt
Filed under: Chlamydomonas reinhardtii
Lineage: Eukaryota; Viridiplantae; Chlorophyta; Chlorophyceae; Chlamydomonadales; Chlamydomonadaceae
Description: small RNA Cre_3722
Source: RNAcentral
UUAAUCUUUGGCGGGUGGGAG